UACAAUUGUACAAAACUGUGUCCAAAAAUAUAUAUUUUGACCACUCCAAUUUGAGAGAAAUCCAACUAUAUAUAUUUUUUUUGUCAACAAAAAAUAAAAUAAAAUUAAAAGGGACAUUUCAAAGAUGUCUCAACCCUAAUACAAGAUCCAAAUACCACAUGUGACUAUAACCACACGUGGAUCAUAGCUAGUUGGUGAGGCAAUAGCUUACCAAGACAAUGAUCAAUAGCAGGUCCGAGAGGAUGAUCAGCCACACUGGGACUGAGACACGGCCCAGACUCCUAGGGAAGGCAACAGUGG
Molecule: non-coding RNA, 300 nt
Filed under: Phaseolus vulgaris (common bean)
Lineage: Eukaryota; Viridiplantae; Streptophyta; Magnoliopsida; Fabales; Fabaceae
Description: Bacterial small subunit ribosomal RNA
Rfam family: Bacterial small subunit ribosomal RNA
Source: Rfam by way of RNAcentral